AAUGAACGUUGGCGGCGUGGAUUAGGCAUGCAAGUCGGACGCCCCGCGAGGGGAGUGGCGCAAGGGUGAGUAAGGCGAUGGUAACCAACCCCGAGGUCGGGCAUAGCCGAGGGAAACCUCGGGUAAUUCCCGGCGACGCAGGACGCUGGCAUCAGCGACCUGCCAAAGGCUUCGGCCGCCGGGGGACGGGCCGUCGUGGUAUUAGGUUGUUGGUGGGGUGACGGCCCACCAAGCCUGCGAUGCCUACCGGGUGUGAGAGCAUGGCCCGGCACACUGGGACUGAGACACUGCCCAGACUCCUACGGGAGGCUGCAGUCGAGAAUCUUCGGCAAUGGGCGCAAGCCUGACCGAGCGACGCCGCGUGGAGGACGAAGGCCUUCGGGUUGUAAACUCCUGUCGAGGGGGAGGAAGGCAUGGCAACAUGCUUGACCGAUCCCUGGAGGAAGCACGGGCUAAGUUCGUGCCAGCAGCCGCAGUAAGAC
RNAcentral lists this ribosomal RNA (482 nucleotides) under uncultured bacterium. RNAcentral describes it as "bacterial SSU rRNA". It matches the Rfam family "Bacterial small subunit ribosomal RNA", at positions 28 to 526 of the family's 1533-position model. The record is from RNAcentral.